This 218-nucleotide long non-coding RNA is filed under the name Elaeis guineensis (African oil palm). RNAcentral's name for it is "long non-coding RNA (EGUI_LNC005260)". Lineage: Eukaryota; Viridiplantae; Streptophyta; Magnoliopsida; Arecales; Arecaceae. The record is from RNAcentral.
GGAGCUAGCAUCCACACAAAAUAUGACCUUACCAGUGGGUAUAAAGUUGGCAUAUGAAUUAAAAACUCUAUCGAUUAAGAAACAUGGUCCUGUCAGGGUAUAAUAGUGACCUUGGCAUGAACGUCUGUGAGCAAUUUUUUUAAAACAUGACACGAAUAUAUGAUAGAAAUAAUUUAUGAUUUAUAAUUAUGAAAUAUACAUGAUUUAUGCAUGCAUGA